Long non-coding RNA from Vicia villosa (hairy vetch), 1440 nucleotides. RefSeq lists it as uncharacterized. The transcript is spliced from 2 exons. NCBI's taxonomy places the organism in Eukaryota, Viridiplantae, Streptophyta, Magnoliopsida, Fabales, Fabaceae. The record is from RefSeq and is a predicted model, not a curated record.
CCUCCUCUCUUCUAACAAAUUACAACGAACUCAACCGAUAGUCCUUAGAUGAAUACUCUUGGUUUUCUUCUUCAACAACAAAACGACAUAAAGACUUCAAAAACGACGAUAACGAAGAUGAUGACCAAAACGACGAUAAGCUUUCUGCGUUGUGAUAGUGAUUGCUCUGUUGCUACUACUGCGACUUCUUCGAGCAAUCGUGAGAUCGAUCUGAUACCUUCCGAAGCGGUUUCCUAUCUCCGAUGUAUCGCCGAUCUGAUGCCUUCCGAAGCGGUUUCCGAUCUCCGAUGUAUCACCGAUCUAAUACCUUCUGAAGUGGUUUCCGAUCUCCGAUAUAUCGCCGUUCUGAUAGCUUCCGAAGCGGUUUUCGAUCUCCUAUGUAUGGCCGAUCUUAUAUCUUCGCGAAUGUAUUCAAGUUUACGGAAGUGAGAGAAAAUCAGCUGUGGAUUUGAAAAUCAGCUGAGAAACUCGGAUUUGAGUUCAUCAUAGGACUUACAGCUCUUCUAUUGGCGACAUCAACAUUUAGGAAGAAGCUUGGUAAGCCAGGGUAUAUAAAAAAAAAUGAUUCAAUGGAACCACAAGAAGGAGAAGAAAGAGGAUGACUUGCCAACAGUAUUUGCUUUUUCAACCAUCAUUAAUGUCAGAAAUAAUUUCUCUUACCAAAACAAGUUAGGAGAAGGUGGCUUUGGAUCAGUAUAGAAGGCAAAGUCUUGGUUACUACCAUAGCAAGUUAAUUUCUUACCUUAAUUCACAAAAGUACUCAUGCUAACUUAAGAAUGUGAAAUUUGUUAGAUACUACGUGAAGUAAACUAUUAGAUUGGACAAAGCGCUUGCAAAUUAUUGAUGGGAUUGCUCGGGGGCUGCUGUAUCUCCACCAAGAUUCUUGCAGCGGAUAUAUGCCUCCAGUCCAGAGUAUGCAGUGCAUGGAUAUUUCUCAACAAAAUCUAAUGUUUUUAGCUUUGGAGUCGUUGUACUUGAGAUCAUUAGUGGUCAGAAGAAUCGCGGAUUUUGUGACCCUCAGUAUCAGUAUGGCUUUAGCUUACCCUAAUUAUAUAACUUUGAUUUUAUUUUAGGCAUGGAGGUUAUGGAUUGAAGAAAGGCCAGAGGAGUUAAUGGCUGACAAAUUAUAUGAUGAGGCCAUAAGUUCAAAAAUAUUAAGAUUUAUUCAUGUGGGUCUAUUGUGUGUACAACGGAAAUCGGAAAAUAGGCCCAACAUGUCAUCUGGGAUUUUUAUGUUAAAGGGUGAAAAGUUACUCCCAAAACCAUGUGAACCCGAGUUCUACAAGGAAGAGAUAAUACAAAUAGCACAUCUUCUUCAAAGAGGUGUUCAAUAAAUGAAAGCUUCAAUCUCAUUGUUAGAAGCUCCAUAGAACGUCCACUGAUAUUGGUUUUCCCAAAUGUUGAGAUAGAUAGAGCAUAGAAUAAAUGUUGAGAUACUAU